This 739-nucleotide ribosomal RNA is filed under the name uncultured bacterium. RNAcentral describes it as "bacterial SSU rRNA". It matches the Rfam family "Bacterial small subunit ribosomal RNA", at positions 61 to 803 of the family's 1533-position model. The record is from RNAcentral.
GUCGAGGGGUAUAGUAGCAAUACUAGAGACCGGCGCACGGGUGCGUAACGCGUAUGCAAUCUACCUUUUGCAGAGGGAUAGCCCAGAGAAAUUUGGAUUAAUACCUCAUAGUAUAACGACUCGGCAUCGAGAUGUUAUUAAAGUCACAACGGCAAAAGAUGAGCAUGCGUCCCAUUAGUUAGUUGGUAAGGUAACGGCUUACCAAGACUACGAUGGGUAGGGGUCCUGAGAGGGAGAUCCCCCACACUGGUACUGAGACACGGACCAGACUCCUACGGGAGGCAGCAGUGAGGAAUAUUGGACAAUGGGCGCAAGCCUGAUCCAGCCAUGCCGCGUGCAGGAUGACGGUCCUAUGGAUUGUAAACUGCUUUUGCACAGGAAGAAACAACGCUACGUGUAGCGUCUUGACGGUACUGUGAGAAUAAGGAUCGGCUAACUCCGUGCCAGCAGCCGCGGUAAUACGGAGGAUCCAAGCGUUAUCCGGAAUCAUUGGGUUUAAAGGGUCCGUAGGCGGUCUUAUAAGUCAGUGGUGAAAUCUCCCCGCUCAACGGGGAAACGGCCAUUGAUACUGUAGGACUUGAAUUAUUAGGAAGUAACUAGAAUAUGUAGUGUAGCGGUGAAAUGCUUAGAGAUUACAUGGAAUACCAAUUGCGAAGGCAGGUUACUACUAAUGGAUUGACGCUGAUGGACGAAAGCGUGGGUAGCGAACAGGAUUAGAUACCCUGGUAGUCCACGCCCU